CAGAAUGCAUCAAUAACUGUUUACUCCAAGAGGGAGACAUUGUACAAUAGGCUAGGAGAAGUAGAUUUGUAGUUCUCUUACUGCCUGGGCUUGAGGUAAAGCUUUGGUCAUACCAGACGAAUGAAACAUCCUUUUUAUGUAGAUUGAAGACCAAAUGUUUCUUCCAAAAUACCAUUUAGUUAAGUGCCAUCUUACAUGUGGUGCCUGACAAAUUCUGAAGAUGAACCAGCAUUGCUGGGGGAGUUGACUCACUCGUUUAAAAUCAACAUUUACUUACUGUUGUCCAAUCCAAGUAUCAUAGAUUCUCUUUUGAAACUGAAAUUUUAAAACGUUUAUAUACUAAGUGGAGGCUGAAGCUUGCAAUGUCUUAACACGCUUUAACUAAGUUUUUGGUGGGUGGGAGGGUGUUUUCUAUAUUUAAGAAAAACUGAGUUACGGAUGAAAUGCUAUUUGAGACACUUAAUCUCCCUAAAAUUGUGCCAGAAUUUGAUAGAGGAAUCCGGGGGAGCUGGUGCACUCUGACUGUCAGGGUGAGUGCACCCUCUGCUGGCAAGAAGUAGUUCUGCACCUUCUCUUUCUUAGUCUUGCAUCCUUUCCUCCAUCAAACAGCUAAUCUGAAAAAGAACUCUAAAACAGCAUUUUUAGUGUAUUGACACUACUGUAAGGAACAUAAAAAAGGGGGGAAGUAGAAGUAAAUUUGGGAAGGAAAGAAAAAAGACACCAUGAUUUCAGACACAAUCUGACUUUGAGGGCUACUUCCAGGAGGGGUGGGACUAAUGUUUCCAAUCCACCUUUGUUAAUUAAUCCAGGUAACCUCAAGUCUGAGCUUUAAAUCACUUACUAUGAAAGGUUUUUUAAAAUUUCCCUUUGUUUCUUCUCAUAGAGGAUCUAAGUUUAUUGUUAAAGUUGAUUGUGGUGAACUUUAUUGAAGUGAUAUAUAAAAUACCUACUUUUUGCCCAGCCUUGGGCAAACUGAAAGAUUUUAGCUCUCAAAAAAAAAAAAAAAAUAGCCCUGGUAUCAAUCAAUCAACUAAUCAACCAAUCAGUACUUCUGAGGCAGGUUAAAUAAGAUAAAUACUAAGCCAAUUCCUGGCAAAAGAAAAAAGUUAAGAUAUCAGGCUUUUGAAUGUUAGUCCAGGAAAUUAAACAGUUCAGAUAUUCAACUUCAUUGUAUUUUGUAUUUCUUGAGAUUCAGGUCAAUUAAUUAUUACACUUUUGAAAGUUUUGAUUUAGUCUUCCAUGGCUACAUACAUUGCUGAUGGGAAAAGGAAGACCUGCUGGGUGGGAGAUGGUGGGGGACAAAGGUCAGCUGAGGACCACAGACCUUUGAGGUCCAGAACCUUCUCUAAUGGGAUAGGCUGACUCAUAAGAAGGAGGAACUCCUUCUGUGAAGUGGUGACCCAGGGGCGGGACUCAUCCACUGUUUUUCUUUCUUUCUUUUCUUUUCUUUUUUUUUUCAGUGCCUCAAUUCAAUGAUAUUAUAGAUGACAAUUCAAAAUGGCCAAGUCAUAUUAAUGACUGAUCCACAAGUAACUCAGGGUGACAUCUGGCUUAGUCCUCAGAGGUGAGGCUGCUCCCUGACUGGAGGAGGCAGAGAACAGUGUGACAGGGGAGGGGGCAGGGUAGCUUUCCAGCCACCUCUGCCCAGGCUGCACCUUGAUGGUUUUGUUUGAAGCUUAAAUUUCCAAAUAAUCAGAGCUAAUACUUAAUUACAGAUUCAAGACAUCAACUGGAAUUGAGCAGAAAUGAAAGUAAAGUUAAUUAGACAUUGUGUCCAACUCAAGAUCAAAUAAUGGAGUGUUAUCUAAAUUGUCAAAUCCCAAACACAUUGGGCAAAGCCCUGAAUAUUGUUGCUCAUUAUUGUAUUGUAGAUUUAUGUGGGAAGCAGUUCUUGCACAUGAUUUGAGCUACCUCUCUGGCUGGGUGUGAGGCGCUUAGACACACUGUGUCAGAGCCUUCCCCACACUGCCCCAGGUGCAAGGGCUUGUCCGUGUGGGGGUGUGACUGACCACUGACCUAAAAAACCAAUCACUGACCCCGACCUUGGAAUGCUGCCCCCUCGACCUUCAUUGGAUGGAAUUUUCCCCUGAAUUUUUUGUUCCCCAAUAAAAGCUCACUCCCUGGCAUGCUUCUCUCUCUCUUGCUGGUCUCUUGUGUAAACCUCGCUACGGCAUCAGGUGGCUGGAGGCAAGAGCUGGGAGAAGCCAUCUCUGAACUGGGCAAGAAAAAGGUAAAUUGAGAGUUAUGUGUCUUUAAUUUGAACUCACUAGUUAAUUUCUAUGUUGCGAACCUCUAAUAUGAAGCUAGCGUGCUGGUCGAGUGGCUGAGAUUUAGUCUAGCUCAAGG
RNAcentral lists this long non-coding RNA (2346 nucleotides) under Marmota monax (woodchuck). The record is from RNAcentral. Lineage: Eukaryota; Metazoa; Chordata; Mammalia; Rodentia; Sciuridae.